Molecule: long non-coding RNA, 357 nt
Filed under: Nicotiana benthamiana
Lineage: Eukaryota; Viridiplantae; Streptophyta; Magnoliopsida; Solanales; Solanaceae
Description: long non-coding RNA (NBEN_LNC003859)
Source: RNAcentral
GAAGAAACUUUGAACAUUUUAGGACACCUAGAAAUGGCUUUCAACCUAGAAAUAACUAUUCUAGAAAUGCUGCAUAUCCUAGAACAAAUAGUAGGAGAAUUGAUUUUCAUGAAAUGCGCAAUAGUUAUAUUGUCGAAAAUAGAGUAAACAAUUUCCGUCCGUCCAACUACUAUCAACCUAGACGAAUGCAUAAUCCUAAUGUCAUUUCUCAUUAUUGCAAUCGAAUUGGACAUAUUGCUCCUGCUUGCUUCACUAGACAUAGACACUUAACUGCAUGUCAAGCACAACAACAUGUUACACCAAACUCUCAAGGACCCAAAACAGCUUGGGUACCAAAGACUCAUUAACUUGUCUUGU